This 253-nucleotide ribosomal RNA is filed under the name uncultured bacterium. RNAcentral's name for it is "partial 16S ribosomal RNA". It matches the Rfam family "Bacterial small subunit ribosomal RNA", at positions 524 to 776 of the family's 1533-position model. The record is from RNAcentral.
UACGAAGGGGGCUAGCGUUGUUCGGAAUUACUGGGCGUAAAGCGUGCGCAGACGGUUGCGUAAGUCAGAUGUGAAAGCCCCGGGCUCAACCUGGGAAUUGCAUUUGAUACUCUGGAGCUUGAGUACGGGAGAGGAUAGUGGAAUUCCCAGUGUAGAGGUGAAAUUCGUAGAUAUUGGGAAGAACACCGGUGGCGAAGGCGGCUAUCUGGACCGUAACUGACGCUGAGGCGCGAAAGCGUGGGGAGCAAACAGG